GUAUGCAUCUGUUCACAGGUGGCGUCUAAUGUCACGUAAAUACACAGACAGCGAUAACUAAAUGUACCUGUAGAUUUCAGACAUUAUAGCAAACCAUAUAGAGGUAGACCGAGAAACCAGGUAGUACGUGUACAGCAGAUCUAUAUCGGUCAGAGGUUAUGGCUCUUCUCUGGUGUCAACGGUUCAGAAUAGUCACAGGCCAAUUCACAAUAGUUCAAAUUAGAUUACAAUAAGCAGAAAUAAUAUUUGGCAUUUGAAAAUCCAAUAAAAUAAUGGUUGUCAUAAUCUAAAUUCUUAAGAGGCACUCAAAUCCUUCAUAAUUUCUUCCACGUUCGACCCCACUCGCUGCCGUAUAUUUUCACAACCCCACCCUGACUGUUACGUAUUUGGUACCGCCUGGGUUCAAGCGGGGAGACUUUUUUACACACUAGGAAUGAAGGGCGAACAGAAGGGGAGGGAAAUAAGGGAACAGGAAGAUAUUUUUUAUGAGUGCUCAUGAGUUAGGAUACCCGCAGGCACGGAGACAGGCCAGUAGACUGUGAUGCUACGAAACCCUUGUCAUCGUGGUUGGAAAACGGUCAAAUCAACUAGAUCACACACAUGAUUUCUUGCAAAUAUUUCUUGAAAACGAAUUUAUUUUAACCUUCUGUUACUGAUGACGGGGCAAUGAGUUGUAUAACCAUUGUAAUAGUGGUAUAUUUUCACCAGCAGUUCACCGAGGUUGUCUGUCGUCCUCAGCGGAACAACGCGUGUGAUUUAGCGGGAAAGCUUCGACGGAAUACGACUCGGUGGAUCGGGGCUUAGUGAAGCCUAAUUACUUAUAUGAUGCUUCGGAUUAGAAUAGCAUACCCCAUUCAAACUUUUGCGUGGUACACAGAGGUACUAGUGGCUUCGUUGUGGGGAGGCUUAUUAUUCAGCAAUCCCAACAUGAAACAUUGUUCUUGUGUAAAGAUAAAGAAACAGUGGACCAUACAAAUCACCAGAAGAGCGAAGAAAAAAUAACAAUCGUAUGGAACUAUAAUUUGUAUGUGAAACCCACCUUCCGCGACCGGCAAUAGAUGUAGCGGAAUUCUUGAGGGAUUACUGUUGAAACAUUCCGAGGCAGAAGCUUCCAACUAUCAACCGAUAAGGAGUUCGCUGUUAGUUAUGGACGAAUGUAUAUAGGGCUCUUGGUGAGAAAUUGAAACGGCAGAGCGUUUUUGUCUCGUACGUGAGAACACGUGUUUCUACAGUCUCUUAACACUAUUAAGAAUGUUCGUUAUCAGUUAGUUCUGUACUUACAGGCGACUUAUCCCACCCAAGGGACAGACUCAAUCAGCAAUUUCUCCGCAGAUAAUAUACGUAAUGGCGUCGAGACUUUCUGAAAUUUGAUACUAUGAUAUAGUUGAAGAUAACCGGCAUGUAUAAGUUCAUAACGUAAUUUUGUGAAUUGUGACAUUCAGAAAUAAUUUUAUCACGAAUAAGUACAGUUUCGAUGUAAUUGUUAUUAAUGAUACCGAAAUUAGUAGUUUUCACCAAUUUUAAUACAAAACAUACUGAUGUUAAAAUGGCUGAAUGUUUGGAAUACUUGUCUGAUACACUGUGGAAUAUCUAUCUGAUAAAUUGUAAAAUAUCUAUCUGAUACACCGUGGAGUAUAUAUAUCUGAUACACUGGAAUAUCUAUCUGAUACACUGUGGAAUAUCUAUCUGAUAAAUUGUAAAAUAUAUAUCUGAUACACUGUGGAAUAUCUGUCUGAUAAAUUGUAAAAUAUCUAUCUUAUAUACUAUUGAAUAACUAUCUGAUACACUGGAAUAUCUAUCUUAUAUACUAUGGAAUAACUAUCUGAUAUACUGUAGAAUAUCUAUCUUAUAUACUAUGGAAUAUCUAUCUGAUACACUGGUAUAUCUAUCUUAUAUACUAUGGAAUAACUAUCCGAUACACUGGAAUAUCUAUCUUAUAUACUAUGGAAUAACUAUCUGAUAUACUGUAGAAUAUCUAUCUUAUAUACUAUGGAAUAUCUAUCUGAUACACUGGAAUAUCUAUCUUAUAUACUAUGGAAUAACUAUCUGAUAUACUAUGGAAUAUCUAUCUUAUAUACUAUGGAAUACCUAUCUUAUAUACUAUGGAAUAUUUAUCUUAUAUACUGUAGAAUAUCUGUCUGAUACACUGGAAUAUCUAUCUUGUAUACUGUGGAAUAUAUCAGGCUCAUUUCUACAAACAACUAAUCUGUAUAAAUAACUAUUGUUUAGGGUUAACAAUGUGCUAAAUGAUUAUAGUUCAGAACUAUUAGAAGAAGAAAAAAGAAGCUUGAAAUAUGAAGCAUUGUCUUUGAGUUCUACUUUGCAGUAACUAGAAAAGAAACGAGAGUGAGGUCAGUAGAUUUCGGGAUCAUAUUUUUUCUGACGGGAAUUGGGAUAGCAUACUUUUCAUGGUCUGAGAUAACACGAACAAAGACAAUAAUUUGUGACAAUUGAUCUCACGCGCUUUACGAUGAGGGUAGCCGAGUUUUUUUCACUUCAAUUACGAGUCUUGUUUUUUAAGAAGUAAGCAAAUCAUGACGAGGGUUUAAAAUUUGAUAGUAGUAUUCUAUGUUCACUAUAAAUAACCCUAAAUAUUCUACACCAAUCACAAUGCUAAAAAGUACAGGGCAUUAGUUGUUUAUACUGACUAAUCAGGGUAUUUUUUUAUACACACUAAUCACAAUAUUAUAAUGUAUAGGGUAUAUUAGGUACUUGUACGAUUACAUAAGUGUUCAAUGGAAUAACUAUAUUGCUUUGAGUAAUAAAUUCUUUGCAAUCCGCAUGUGAUUGAACAUAAUACUACUUGCAUGCUCAACUAUCCUUUCAAGCGCCAUUUUAAUUAUGUUUGGUGGUGUUGUACGAGAUCAUUUUAACGUUUAUCUCCCAGUGUAAAAAUGAAUAAAUUAUGUUUUUAUAAAUUA
Molecule: long non-coding RNA, 2921 nt
Organism: Limulus polyphemus (Atlantic horseshoe crab)
Lineage: Eukaryota; Metazoa; Arthropoda; Merostomata; Xiphosura; Limulidae
Exons: 2
Source: RefSeq, a predicted model, not a curated record